RNAcentral lists this ribosomal RNA (495 nucleotides) under Enterobacter cloacae. Its description in RNAcentral is "bacterial SSU rRNA". It matches the Rfam family "Bacterial small subunit ribosomal RNA", at positions 576 to 1069 of the family's 1533-position model. Lineage: Bacteria; Pseudomonadati; Pseudomonadota; Gammaproteobacteria; Enterobacterales; Enterobacteriaceae. The record is from RNAcentral.
CGGUCUGUCUAGUCGGAUGUGAAAUCCCCGGGCUCAACCUGGGAACUGCAUUCGAAACUGGCAGGACUAGAGUCUUGUAGAGGGGGGUAGAAUUCCAGGUGUAGCGGUGAAAUGCGUAGAGAUCUGGAGGAAUACCGGUGGCGAAGGCGGCCCCCUGGACUAAGACUGACGCUCAGGUGCGAAAGCGUGGGGAGCAAACAGGAUUAGAUACCCUGGUAGUCCACGCCGUAAACGAUGUCUACUUGGAGGUUGUGCCCUUGAGGCGUGGCUUCCGGAGCUAACGCGUUAAGUCGACCGCCUGGGGAGUACGGCCGCAAGGUUAAAACUCAAAUGAAUUGACGGGGGCCCGCACAAGCGGUGGAACAUGUGGUUUAAUUCGAUGCAACGCGAAGAACCUUACCUACUCUUGACAUCCAUAGAACUUUCCAGAGAUGGAUUGGUGCCUUCUCGAACUCUGAGACGAGUGCUGCAUGGCUGUCGUCAGCUCGUGUUGUG